RNAcentral lists this ribosomal RNA (346 nucleotides) under uncultured archaeon. RNAcentral's name for it is "bacterial SSU rRNA". It matches the Rfam family "Archaeal small subunit ribosomal RNA", at positions 19 to 368 of the family's 1478-position model. The record is from RNAcentral.
GGACCUGACCGCUAUCGGAUUGAUACUAAGCCAUGCGAGUCAUUGUAGCAAUACAAGGCAUACGGCUCAGUAACGCGUAGUCAACCUAACCUAUGGACGGGAAUAACCUCGGGAAACUGAGAAUAAUGCCCGAUAGAACAUUAUGCCUGGAAUGGUUUAUGUUCCAAAUGAUUUAUCGCCGUAGGAUGGGACUGCGGCCUAUCAGUUUGUUGGUGAGGUAAUGGCCCACCAAGACUAUUACAGGUACGGGCUCUGAGAGGAGUAGCCCGGAGAUGGGUACUGAGACACGGACCCAGGCCCUAUGGGGCGCAGCAGGCGAGAAAACUUUGCGAAUGUGCGAAAGCAC